CGGAGGAUCCAAGCGUUAUCCGGAAUCAUUGGGUUUAAAGGGUCCGUAGGCGGGUUUAUAAGUCAGUGGUGAAAGCCCAUCGCUCAACGAUGGAACGGCCAUUGAUACUGUAGAUCUUGAAUUAUUAGGAAGUAACUAGAAUAUGUAGUGUAGCGGUGAAAUGCUUAGAGAUUACAUGGAAUACCAAUUGCGAAGGCAGGUUACUACUAAUGGAUUGACGCUGAUGGACGAAAGCGUGGGUAGCGAACAGGAUUAGAUACCCUGGUAGUCCACGCCGUAAACGAUGGAUACUAGCUGUUCGGAGCAAUCUGAGUGGCUAAGCGAAAGUGAUAAGUAUCCCACCUGGGGAGUACGUUCGCAAAAAUG
RNAcentral lists this ribosomal RNA (366 nucleotides) under uncultured organism. Its description in RNAcentral is "bacterial SSU rRNA". It matches the Rfam family "Bacterial small subunit ribosomal RNA", at positions 526 to 896 of the family's 1533-position model. The record is from RNAcentral.